Molecule: unclassified non-coding RNA, 364 nt
Filed under: Martiusella imperialis
Lineage: Eukaryota; Viridiplantae; Streptophyta; Magnoliopsida; Ericales; Sapotaceae
Also listed under: 1 other name
Description: Chrysophyllum imperiale partial contains external transcribed spacer and 18S ribosomal RNA
Source: RNAcentral
UCCUGUGUUGCUUGCCUAAUGUGACGGAAUUUGGCCUCGGAUCAGUCCUAAUUUUUGCCUCUCACCAAUUUGUGGUGUUAGGUUGACAUGGACGUACUGCCCAUUCUCCUUGAAUGCUUCGCCCUCUCGCGUUGCAAUCAUGGGCCCAUGGGUUGAUACUAGUUCCCUCGGAUGCAGAACUUUCGAAGGGUGUACAACAUGUUGUUGUUGUUUACUCGCAAAGCGUUCAUUGCUCGAUGCGUACGACAGCUGUGCCUGUCUUGGUCCCCUCUGUAACUAGUUUAUGGAUGGGGCUCAUGCGGUGCCGGCGUCGCGAAGGAAUGCUACCUGGUUGAUCCUGCCAGUAGUCAUAUGCUUGUCUCAA